GUACCAAUCUCACUUGCUUGAACCUGUGUACAGAGGUGUGUCAUUCUGAUACCUACAAGGAAGCUGCUCUCAUGGUAGGGAUGCGGAAAUACUUCAUAGCAACUCUGUUUUGCCUGUGAUUUAAACUCCUUCUGAGGCUAUUGGAGACUGUAUGGGAACUGUUGAAUCACGGCCUGAACCUCUGAUUGACCACCUGAGGAGAGCGCUGAGUCAGCCACAGGGGCACAGGUGAACGCAAUUUCACCUCAGUGACUGGAUGGGGUGGAGCCUGGCUCCAGCCCUCCUAGACCCCAUUUAAGGGCUGACUCCCAAUUAGGAAAGACAUCUAUCUGGAGAUCAUUUUUCUUGGAGCCCUUCUGCAAGCCCAGGACACAGGCAAGAGAAGAUUGGAUCCUGAGUGGGCACCAGGCACUGCUAUACUUGCAGGUUCAGAUACCUGUCCCAGAAGAGAAGAAGAACUACAUACCCCAGAGGACUGUUUGGUAUUCUGGUACCAUUUCCACUCAGAGGGAAGAGAUGAAAGCUGUUCAUGUAUCAGGAGACACCCCUCGUUUCUCUUCUGCUCAGCCUAGCAAGACAUCUUGACUCAGCAUUAGA
Molecule: long non-coding RNA, 597 nt
Filed under: Gallus gallus (chicken)
Lineage: Eukaryota; Metazoa; Chordata; Aves; Galliformes; Phasianidae
Description: lncRNA (ENSGALG00010009599.1)
Source: RNAcentral